GAUAGCGUCUUUUGCGAUGGUCCUUCCGCGUGGAAGGUGAAUAGGGAAGCCGGUUUGAGGCCGGCGCUGCCCCCGCAACUGUAAGCGACGAGCCCGCGCCGGUGCCACUGGGAAUUCUUCAGAAUUCUUGGGAAGGCGGCAACAGGCUUUGACUCGCAAGCCAGGAGACCUGCCAUCACGAACUGUGCUUU
Molecule: non-coding RNA, 191 nt
Filed under: Tardiphaga robiniae
Lineage: Bacteria; Pseudomonadati; Pseudomonadota; Alphaproteobacteria; Hyphomicrobiales; Nitrobacteraceae
Also listed under: 1 other name
Source: RNAcentral